This 339-nucleotide unclassified non-coding RNA is filed under the name soil metagenome. RNAcentral's name for it is "partial contains 5.8S ribosomal RNA, internal transcribed spacer 2, and large subunit ribosomal RNA". The stretch from base 1 to 120 matches the Rfam family "5.8S ribosomal RNA", at positions 35 to 154 of the family's 154-position model. The record is from RNAcentral.
GAUGAAGAACGCAGUGAAAUGCGAUAAGUAGUGUGAAUUGCAGAAUUCAGUGAAUCAUCGAAUCUUUGAACGCACAUUGCGCCCCUCGGUAUUCCGUGGGGCAUGCCUGCUCGAGCGUCAUUUAACCCCUCAAGCCUAGCUUGGUAUUGGGUGCUUGUCCCGCCUCUCGCGCGGCGACUCACCUCAAAGUCAUUGGCAGCCCGCAUCUCGCCGGCCGUGAGCGCAGCACAGACGCGCUCUUGGCAACGACGGAUCGGCUCUCCAAAAGCUUAUUUCAACCACUGACCUCGGAUCAGGUAGGGAUACCCGCUGAACUUAAGCAUAUCAAUAAGCGGAGGA